Molecule: long non-coding RNA, 5791 nt
Filed under: Triticum aestivum (bread wheat)
Lineage: Eukaryota; Viridiplantae; Streptophyta; Magnoliopsida; Poales; Poaceae
Description: long non-coding RNA (TAES_LNC022559)
Source: RNAcentral
AGAUUUGCUGCCGGCGAAGGUAGAUAUCGCUCGUGGGCGGUGGCCAUCAUUGAGAGUCUACCCCCCUCUAAAAUUUCUCUUCCUGGGGCUGGUGGCGCAGGUGGCCGGGUGAGUGCGUGAACGCGUUUGAUGCGGUCUUCAGGGCAGAUGCUCGCCCACCUCAGCGAGUCCGGCGGCGAGGCCAUCAGGAGGUCCGACGGCUAGCGACGGUGGUGGAUGUGCUGGAGGUUGGUGGCGUUGAGGGGGCAGUAAGGAAGCUCACGGAGAAGGGUGUGGAUUUCCUAGAUGAGUUCGUGCAAUGGAUAAUGGUCGGAUCUGAGGAGCGGGGCAGAGACUUGCACUGCGGCUAUGCUUCAUGAGAGCUAUGGGGUUAUGUAGACAAAUGUGAGAUCGUGCCAUAAGCAAAUGACAUCAAGAUCUGAGCACCGUUGCAGACGGCCUCGAGUUAUUUUCCUCUUCAUCUCCUACAAAAUGUAAGUGCGAGCCGAUCAUAUGCAUCCUUCCUAGUGCAGAUUAUUUUUUUAGUUCCUCCAUAUCACUAUGUAAGUCUGUAGUGUUGUACUCCUUAUUUAUGAAAUUUCUCUUCGUACAGGUUGCUUGCAUGGUCAAUUUGGGCAUCGGUUUGUUAAGCAGCAAAAGCUCGCAUGUUGAAUCUACUCAACUCAAGUAUGUUUUCACCAGAAAACUCAAUCGUGUAGUGUAUGGAAUGACAUGUUUAUUUAGUUUCUACUAAUUAGUUUGGAUAACCUCUGAUCAUCCGAUGAAGUAACUGAGAAGAAAUUUUGGUCAUGUUAUUACUUCCCAUUUUUUUAUACCUAUGCAAUUAAUGUUAUUUGUUGCUGGUUUUGCUGUGGCGCCAAGUCUAAAUGAGGGAACCUUGUUUUUAUUCAAAGCAAGAUCCAUGUGUUGACAUAGGAUGGAUUUUGUACAAAAUGCCUAUAAUAUCAAGCUUUUCUAAUAUUCUCUUAACUGAAAAAGGCUGUUGGAUAGAGAGCUAUUAUGAAGAGCAGAAAACUCAUAUAUCAAGUAAUUACAACAUGACAUGCUUCUGGUAGUGCUAACUUCAGCCGUUCAGCGCCUUGUUAUGUAAUACGUGUCCUUAUAUUGGUAGAUGUCAAGUGCUCUUCUCUAUCUCAGUUAUGGUCUGCCUUAGUUUCAGUCUAAGCUAUAUUAAUCAACUAAUUUUGUGGGUAACCUCCUUGUUCGCCUAGGUUUUUUUGGCUACUGUAUCUUCGAACUGACCACUUCCCUUGUAGCAUUUUUCAUCAACACUUCCGGUCUUGUGGCCAUAAACCUCUUUGGUCAUUUUAUGCAAUCUCCUUAUGGCUGCAGUAUCAGUACAUCUUAUUUUGCCACAACUGGCAACUGAGUCUUCAUCUUCAAGCAUUGCAGUUUUUACUUCCGCUUCAACAUGUUUCUUGUUCCCAGCAUACAUCUCUCCUUUCUUGUACACUUAUCUUGGUGUAUUCAUCCUCUGAGCCAUCCGAUAAUAUGAUAGAUCUCUAUCAUUUUCUUUUGUCAUUGCAGAGUCCAUGUGAUGUUUAUGUUUUUUUUCUUCACACCCAUCAUCAUGUACUAUAACCCCAUUAGUAUCGUGUGGUUCUUCUUACAUAGAAACAAAUUGUCAUAUCCUUUUCUGAGGUGAAUCUCUAUUGUUAUUUGUCUGCAAAAUAAAAAUACAUUUCAAAGAUUACACGUGUCUCUAAAAAUUGAGAAGUAGUACUCUGAGAAAAUUAAUCACCCUUUAGCCUCUAUGUUAUGCUUCUUUGUUGCUUUUUUGAACACGGCGUCCACUUCAUCAUGCAAAAUUCUGAGAAUCAUAUGUGAGAUGUAUUAGUUAGGAAAAUACAAACACAAUACUUCUUUUGUAAUGGAUAAAGGCAAAUUUUCCUCCUCGGCUUUAUCUUUCAGGUCCAUCAUCUCAAGCCUAUCAUCACACACAAAUGUUCUUUUUACUGCAUAGUUUUUUGUUCUGAAAGUGAGAUUGCCAUCGCUGAACAUGAGCUGAAAAUAAGUGUUUGUCAACAUUAUUAUUAUGUAAUCUUUGGCGCUUCUUCAUAUUUCUCAUCCAGUGAAUUUAGCAAGUCUGAGACAAAUGUAUUGAACAAUUUUUCGGCCUCACCGUCAAAUAAAGUGCAACUUGUAGUAGUCGUACAGUCAUUAAUUUAUUGUCAAAUACGAUAACUAUCAUACGAUUGUUAUUAGUGUAGAGUAAAUGUAAUAGGAAAGAAGUCUUCUUCAAAUUAGUAGAAUAUGCUUACCGAGGUGAUACAUCAUCUCGAUAUGUAUCACAACUCUCGUAACAGUACUUGUCAACUUCCUUCUUAUCUAGUUUGUGAAAAUCAUCACAUCACAUAUACCAGCUUUGAAUAUGAUCACUUGUAGCUAUUACUGUGAACACAAAAUCCUAAAAUGAUUUCCCAAAAAUUUAGCAUACUGGAGAAAGUGAGAGACAUAAUUAAGUAGAUAUGCACUAUAACUGAUAUUUACUAAGUUGUCAUUGCAGGUGUUGAGAGUCUGGUUUUCCUCAAAAAGUGGCGAUUUCAUAUCUUAGAAGAAGUCUCGCAUUAGUACAAAUUUGAACUAAAACCAUAACACUUAUUUUGGAUCGAGGGAGUAUGAAUUUGGUAUCGAUUCUUGUGUUGAGUUCCUGCACAUUUGGAGCAAAUCGAGUAUAAUAAUUAUCUUAGAUUGGUGAAUAAAGAUGAGUCAAGAUAAAUUAGCUGAGAAAUAAUAAAAGUUGGUCUUUCAUACCUGUCAACAAUUUCCCAAGUUUAUGGUAUAUCUAGAUCUGUAUAGAUUCUUAUGACACUUGACUUUAAGCAUAAUCAUGUUUAAUCAACGUAAAUUCUGUUAGACAUAUUUUUAUAAGGGAGAAGUAUAUUUUUUGUCCCUAAACUCUUUCGAAAGUAUAGAAAUAGUCCUUGAAUUCAAAAACCAGCAAAACUUAGUCCCUCAACUUUUUAAACCGGAUUAGUUUAGUCCUUCAUACCGCUUCGAGUGGUUUCCAUCUAAUGUGGACAUGGUUUUGACCAAAAACUUGAAACGUCACCUAGGCUUGACCGCCACGUCAGUCCAUGUCAUUUUUUUCAAAGCACAGUGCAUGUCACCAAGGGCCCCAGUACUACGAGGCGCGGCGAGUUCGGAUGAGAAGCCGGACAGCGUCGUCCAUGACGGUCAUGCGGCGGAGACAAAGUGCUCGAGCGGCCAGAGGAGCUCGGCGACCCAGGGCGUGGCGUUGGCAGACGAGUUACUUGGCCUCCGUGUUGCACGGGCCGUCGAGCUGCAGCCUGCGCCCAGCGCGACGCCGCUGACCUUUUGGACAGGAGGCCUGAGCAGGAGGAGGAGCUCGAGGCCGCGAGCUCGGACAAGCCCUCCGCGGGCACCUCCACUGACCGCGUUGGCCAUGCAUCCGAUCGUAUGCAGCAGGGUGUAAGGUGCAGUCUAGGGAGCAACACAUCACGUGAGUGUGUAUUCUGGGCGAGAUCGGAUCAGCAUGUUCGUUGUGUUUGGCCUGCAUCUCCUGCGGGCCGAAUCAAUACGUAUGUUCACGUAUACCUACGUGUUUUGCCGGCGGCUAGAAUCAAUCCAGCAGCUAGUCUGCACUUCGUGUUCCUUCCUGGAGCACGCCUGCCUCACAGGAGACCCAAGGUCGCGCCCUGGUGCACCAGCUCAUUGCAGGAGCUCGCGAUCCCUGCUCGCGUGGUGCCCCUCCAUCCAUCCUAGCUAUAGUCAUGUCAAGCCCAACCACAACAUGAAUGAAGAACGGUAAGUCCGUCAGUGCAGACCUUGGUUUUAUGAGGACCCGCGCGAGCGUGUAGACUUGAGCCACCAGCGGUGGCAGCGACACGAGCAAAAGAGCAGCUUUGGGAGCUUCACGCCGUUGACCCUGCCUCCAGCACUCUAACAGACCAAGGGAAUACACAUGCCAUCGUUAAUCAGCCUCAUCAUGGACCACCCGGGCCGACGCGCACCGAGCCGCACCACGCCGGCUGCAGGCGCAGCCGUAUUUGCCCGUUGCACACACUGCCGGGCGCCGUCGACACGCACUGCCCGCUCGCUGAGCAUUAUACCGAGCACCUUUCAUGCACGUGUCCGAGUCAAAAACCACACUGCGUCAGCAGAAAAUCACCCUAAGCAAGACGAGGGAUUAAACUUAUCCGGUUUUGAAAGUUGAGGGACUAAACUUAUCUGGUUUUGAAAGUUGAGGGACUAAGUUUUGCUGGUUUCGGAGUCGAGGGACCAUUGCUAUACUUUCGAAAGAGUUGAAGGACGAAAAAUAUACUUAUCCCUUUCUAUAAUUAAUAGAAGAGCUUGUAACAUUAAUGAACUUACCAUUGAACUUCUGCACCAGUGAUGAUGAAUGGUUGUGCAAUAUGGACUUAAUCUUAUAUUAGAAUUCAAUCUGGCUGAAAUAUGAAGGUUCAGGGUUAUUUCUUUUUAUUAUUGAUUCCACAUGCUCCAUUUGGGUUGGUAGUCCAAUGACGUCUAUAAAAGCGGAGUUAAUUAUUUGAAAGUUUCAUCUAAUUUUUUUCCUUUGUAGCAAACUCGAAGUAGUAAACGGGGUAACCUUCUGAUGAUCCUCUCACCUCCUUUACUUUUUUAAUGUAUGAAAAAUAACUAUAUUUCACUGCUUACUCGAAUAUACUUAUUCCACAAACUUAAAAUUGUUACAUAAAUAGAUUCUCAUUUAUCUUUGUUCUAUAUGUGUCUAUAAAUUAAACUACUUCCCGAUAGUCGCAAGAAUUGUUUGGCCAUGUGAAAACAAUCAAAACAUACUUAGUAGUUGUUGUAGAAAAUAACAGAACAGUUCGCAAGUAAAUAUAUGAUGACUAAACCUUUUCAUCGAUGAAUAUCAUACCGGCAUACUUAGUAGUUAAAACAAACAAUAGAACAAUCUGCUAAUAAAUAUGCAAUGGCUAAACCUUUUCAUCUAUGAAUAUCAUGCCGAGGUUCCAGAGCCAUUUAAUUGUAGGAUUGAUUGAAUUUCAUAUUCUCAUUACUUGCACUUGAAUACAUAGUUUCAUCCUCCUGUUGUGAACUCGCUAUGCUUGUUAUAUGCCAUUGCUGCAAAAGGAUCACAAAAUCGCUAGGGAAUUAUUAAUAAUGCACCUAUGAAGAUUGUAUGCAGAAUAACAAUUACAAACCUUGAUGAUUCAGGUGAGAGGCUACUCAGAAGGUAGAUUGGAUCCAGAAUAACAAUUGCAAACCUUGAUGAUUCAGGUGAGUCACUCAGAAGGUUGCCAUGACUACAUCGGCGUUGCAUAGUUGAAUCGGAAGACUUUGAUUGCCAAGGUAGAUUGGAUCCAGAAUAACAAUUAGAAACCUUUAUGACUCAGGUGAGAAGCCACUCAGAAGGUUGCUUGGGCGUCACUACAUCUGGCUUGGUGACAUUACGUAGUUGAAUUGGAAGACUGAUUUUGUUGGUAGUGUGCUAGCUAGGUAGUAGAUUUGGCUGACUUCAAUUUUUGGGCAUGUGCUGGGUGCGGUUGCAUGUAUGUGUUUUUAUGUGCCGUGUUUGCCUUGGCAAGUCAUGUUUGUAGUCCGUAUACACGUCUUAUUUGCAUGUGUGUCCGAGUUUGAAAAAAAAUGAUGUCCUUAUUUGCUUAGGUUCCUUAUUUAUUUAUUUAUUUAUUUAUUUAGGUUUGACUACUAUUUUUAUCCUAAUUACAAUAUAAUUGUUUUUAUCCUAAUUACACAUGAUGGAACAUGGAUGUGUUGGUCCGUUAUAUGCACGUACACGUUAUAUGAACGUACACGUGACAACACAACUUUUCUCGUUUACGUGUUG